GCUGGGGGUCCGGGAGGAAGUGUGCACGCUGGGGGGCACGGCUCAGCCCAGAAGCCGCCAUCCGGUGGGUCAGCAUCACGUAAGAAGUGCUUUUCGCCUCCCGCCAUGAUUCUGAGGUCUCCCCAGCCAUGUGGAACUGUAAGUCCAAUUAAACCUGUUUUUGUUCCCA
This is a long non-coding RNA of Homo sapiens (human), 169 nucleotides long. RefSeq lists it as uncharacterized. Lineage: Eukaryota; Metazoa; Chordata; Mammalia; Primates; Hominidae. The transcript has 2 exons. The record is from RefSeq and is a predicted model, not a curated record.